RNAcentral lists this transfer RNA (77 nucleotides) under Hyphomicrobiales bacterium. Its description in RNAcentral is "tRNA-Pro". It matches the Rfam family "tRNA". Rfam says of the family: Transfer RNA (tRNA) molecules are approximately 80 nucleotides in length. Their secondary structure includes four short double-helical elements and three loops (D, anti-codon, and T loops). Lineage: Bacteria; Pseudomonadati; Pseudomonadota; Alphaproteobacteria; Hyphomicrobiales. The record is from RNAcentral.
CGGGGUAUGGCGCAGUCUGGUAGCGCGGAAGUUUUGGGUACUUCAGGCCGUUGGUUCGAAUCCAGCUACCCCGACCA